CAGUCGCCGCGUAAUACAGAGGGUGCAAGCGUUAAUCGGAAUUACUGGGCGUAAAGCGCGCGUAGGUGGUUAGUUAAGUUGGAUGUGAAAUCCCCGGGCUCAACCUGGGAACUGCAUUCAAAACUGACUGACUAGAGUAUGGUAGAGGGUGGUGGAAUUUCCUGUGUAGCGGUGAAAUGCGUAGAUAUAGGAAGGAACACCAGUGGCGAAGGCGACCACCUGGACUGAUACUGACACUGAGGUGCGAAAGCGUGGGGAGCAAACAGGAUUAGAUACCCCCGUAGUCCCUGUCUCUUAUACA
This 301-nucleotide ribosomal RNA is filed under the name uncultured bacterium. RNAcentral describes it as "partial 16S ribosomal RNA". It matches the Rfam family "Bacterial small subunit ribosomal RNA", at positions 509 to 808 of the family's 1533-position model. The record is from RNAcentral.